RNAcentral lists this ribosomal RNA (274 nucleotides) under uncultured bacterium. RNAcentral's name for it is "partial 16S ribosomal RNA". It matches the Rfam family "Bacterial small subunit ribosomal RNA", at positions 523 to 796 of the family's 1533-position model. The record is from RNAcentral.
AUACGGAGGGUGCGAGCGUUAAUCGGAAUUACUGGGCGUAAAGCGUACGUAGGCGGCUAUUUAAGUCAGAUGUGAAAGCCCCGGGCUUAACUUGGGAACUGCAUUUGAAACUGGGUAACUAGAGUUUAGUAGAGGGGAGUGGAAUUUCAGGUGUAGCGGUGAAAUGCGUAGAGAUCUGAAGGAACACCAGUGGCGAAGGCGACUCCCUGGACUAAAACUGACGCUGAGGUACGAAAGCGUGGGUAGCAAACAGGAUUAGAAACCCUAGUAGUCC